This 720-nucleotide long non-coding RNA is filed under the name Mus spicilegus (steppe mouse). RNAcentral describes it as "lncRNA (ENSMSIG00000017292.1)". Lineage: Eukaryota; Metazoa; Chordata; Mammalia; Rodentia; Muridae. The record is from RNAcentral.
CAGGUCCAGUGCUCAACUGCUUUAAAAGUCUGCUUGUAGCUCACUUGCCAUUUCUUUUACUUCAUGGGCUUUGGCAAGUCAUAUUGAAAUGCUCAGGAUAAGGACAGGAAGUGGCCACAUGAACAUAAGGACACAGGGACACUGGGUGAUGUCAAAGUCAAUAAUCAGUUCCCAAUAUCAUUGGAAAGUACAACCAGGGGUGUCUAGUGCUGUGGAGUCAACACAACUGGGCUGAACUCAUGGAAACUUUUGGUUCCAAAUAGAGGAAGUCAUAGCAACAACAGCGAUUCAUCUUCCGGCUUUCAUCAGCUCCUCAUGGCCUCGCUGUCAUCGUCAUCUGAGCUAAAAACAAUCCAACCAAGGGAAAGGCAUCUCCUCUCCUGCCAUUCCACUCUCCUCUCCACCACCGAUGGCACAUUCUCUGUAGUUUUUGUUCCUGCCUCCAUUUUGUGCGAAAGCUCCGGUGUCUGCCAGCAACCCUAAAACAGUCAGCCCACUUUCAGAAAUUCACUCACCUCUUAAACACUUAGAAGCUGAAUUGAGUGAAAACCCAUUUUCAGAAGAGUUUCCAAGGAAGUAGAAAGUUUCCACACCCUACAUCUUCUACUAAAAGAAAUGGAAACUAUGCUCUGCCUGCCAAAGGCUGAAUUGUUGUGUCACAGGCUGUUGAACAUUAUAAUCAGCAAUAAAAAUGUGAACAUACUUGAUGCUAUAUUAAAG